AGCCCGCUCAGACACUCAAAGGAAUUGACGGGGCCCGCACAAGCAGCGGAGCAUGUGGUUUAAUUCGAAGCAACGCGAAGAACCUUACCUAGACUUGACAUCUCCUGAAUUACUCUGUAAUGGAGGAAGCCACUUCGGUGGCAGGAAGACAGGUGGUGCAUGGUUGUUGUCAGCUCGUGUCGUGAGAUGUUGGGUUAAGUCCCGCAACGAGCGCAACCCUUAUUGUUAGUUGCUACCAUUUAGUUGAGCACUCUAGCGAGACUGCCCGGGUUAACCGGGAGGAAGGUGGGGAUGACGUCAAAUCAUCAUGCCCCUUAUGUCUAGGGCUACACACGUGCUACAACGGUCGGUACAAUGAGAUGCAACCUCGCGAGAGUGAGCAAAACUAUAAAACCGAUCUCAGUUCGGAUUGUAGGCUGAAACUCGCCUACAUGAAGCUGGAGUUGCUAGUAAUCGCGAAUCAGAAUGUCGCGGUGAAUACGUUCCCGGGCCUU
Molecule: ribosomal RNA, 494 nt
Filed under: uncultured Clostridium sp.
Lineage: Bacteria; Bacillati; Bacillota; Clostridia; Eubacteriales; Clostridiaceae
Description: bacterial SSU rRNA
Rfam family: Bacterial small subunit ribosomal RNA
Source: RNAcentral